UGUCCUACGGGGGGCAGCAGUGGGGAAUAUUGCACAAUGGGGGAAACCCUGAUGCAGCGACGCCGCGUGAGUGAAGAAGCGUUUCGGCGCGUAAAGCUCUGUCAGCGGGGAAGAAACACGGUUCGCGAGAGCCGCGGACGGUACCCGACCAAGAAGCCCCGGCUAACUACGUGCCAGCAGCCGCGGUAAUACGUAGGGGGCAAGCGUUAUCCGGAUUCACUGGGUGUAAAGGGAGCGUAGACGGCGAGACAAGUCUGGAGUGAAAGGCCGGGGCUUAACCCCUGAACUGCUUUGGAAACUGCCAU
RNAcentral lists this ribosomal RNA (305 nucleotides) under uncultured bacterium. Its description in RNAcentral is "bacterial SSU rRNA". It matches the Rfam family "Bacterial small subunit ribosomal RNA", at positions 335 to 639 of the family's 1533-position model. The record is from RNAcentral.